AAAAGUUUUGACUAUUUGACUUUUAGUCUAUCCAAUUCCAAAUCUCCCUUCUUUCUGCAAAUUCUAUCCGAGGAUAAACCCCUUUGGCGGAAACAUUUCUUCUGCCUUCACUCACAAAUCGCAAUCUCUGCAAUUCACCUCACCGCCUCAGAGUUUAUCUUGUGUGCGUGUGUGCUGUUGUUUGUGAGAAGAUGGGUUUAGUGGGAAUUUCUUGCUUGCUUGAUGCGUAGAAGAUGGCAUUAGCAACAUUUCAGCUGCGGGGCUCUUGUAGCAGUUUCCCUUGUGUGCCCACAGCACGGUGCAGAGGGAGCCAACUAAAAUACCUUUUGGCCCAGUCCCAGUCCCAGUCCCACGAGUUGGGAGAAAAGAUAGUCUGAGCUCCUUAAAAUGCAGAUCCUGUUCAAGUGGAGGAGCUUCUUUUAUUCUUGGACCAAAGUCCAAAAUAUCUAAAAUAUCAACUUUCAAAGGUGGAAAUCGACAUGAUGAUCUGAGUGGCAGAGCUAAUGACUCCUCCAAAUCCCUAAAGAAUCCUCUUAAAGUUUCUUAUUUACAACAUGAGAGUGAAGAGUCCUUCGUGGAAUCUUCAAAGGCACAUAAUGUUGUGCCUGCCCCUUAUACAGCAGAAGAUGAGAGAAAAACCAGGUCCUUAGCUAUACAAAAUCUCUUUAAGAACUGGUUGAUGUUACUGCGUACCCCACUAGGAACACAACCAGUGGAGAGAACUCUCGAAGAACCUUCUGAGGGAAUCUCAGAAGAGUCAAAUGUCGUGCAAAAUAAUGAAAGACAUGAAGUUUUUAAGGCAGCUUGGUGCUACUUUUUGAGCUUGGAUCCAACAAUAAAGAUACCAUUUUUAAUGUUCACACCACUGUACCUGGCAGUAAACCUUGUAUAUGGAUCAGAAGUAUCUAAAGAAUUAACUCCCCUAUGGAUUCUUGGACCAUUAGUUGCGGCUCUCUAUGUGAAGAUGCUCCGAGGAAUAUGCAGCCUCUAUGUGUUCAGCUUCACGCAAACUGUCAGAAUAGUCAAGAACCUGCCGGCCUACUACAUGCUGGUAUACGAGUACCUUUUCCGUGGGAAGCUAAAAGAAGCCAUGCAGAAAUAUGUAUGGCAACCUCUCGUUGACAUAAAAAAUAUGGACUACAAAGAGGUGACCAAGAGGAAAUUGAAGGGUUUCCAAGGGUGGUUGGUGGAGAAAUACCAGGAUUUUGUUGAAUCCAUAUGGCCGUAUUACUGCAGAACAAUCAGGUUUUUGAAGAGGGCCAAUCUAAUAUAGCUCCAACUCCUCUUUAAGAGAUAUGUCCAAACGGCAUGACAUUGUUAUCUUGGUUUCCCGUGGCUUAGCUCCUUACUUUAAGGUGAAUUAUCCAUGGAGGUCCCUCCGUUAAGCCCCUUUUUGAAUUGGGGUUCUUCCCUCGACGGAUUGGAGACAUGUAGGGAUGUGAUUGCUUGUAUUCCACAUCUCCUUUUCCCACUGGCGCGGGCACAUUCUUGGUUAGGUUGUUUUGUGGCAGUAUCAGUCUGUGCCUUAGUAAUGGUUUUUUUCCUUCUAUAUUAACAUAUUUCUGAUUAUCUGAAUCUGUUCUGAAUACAUCUGAGUUUUCCUAUCAGCAGUUAUAGAAAGAUCCCAUUAUUCAUUCA
RNA transcript from Salvia splendens (bonfire salvia), 1638 nucleotides. RefSeq lists it as uncharacterized. The record is from RefSeq and is a predicted model, not a curated record. NCBI's taxonomy places the organism in Eukaryota, Viridiplantae, Streptophyta, Magnoliopsida, Lamiales, Lamiaceae. The transcript has 5 exons.